GCAUUAGUCGAUGCCCUGUUAGCUCAGUGGUAGAGCUCCUAUACUAUGUGGUGGGCUAAAGCGCCUAGCAAUAACUGACAGGAGGUCGCAGGUUCGAAUCCUGCUCGGAGGCUA
Meloidogyne enterolobii is the source of this 114-nucleotide non-coding RNA. Lineage: Eukaryota; Metazoa; Nematoda; Chromadorea; Rhabditida; Meloidogynidae. The record is from the annotation of a GenBank genome assembly.